This 496-nucleotide ribosomal RNA is filed under the name uncultured bacterium. RNAcentral's name for it is "partial 16S ribosomal RNA". It matches the Rfam family "Bacterial small subunit ribosomal RNA", at positions 29 to 507 of the family's 1533-position model. The record is from RNAcentral.
AUGCACGCUGGCGGCGUGCCUCAUACAUGCAAGUCGAGCGAACGGACGAGAGGCUUGCUUCUCUGAUGUUAGCGGCGGACGGGUGAGUAACACGUGGAUAACCUACCUAUAAGACUGGGAUAACUUCGGGAAACCGGAGCUAAUACCGGAUAAUAUUUUGAACCGCAUGGUUCAAAAGUGAAAGACGGUCUUGCUGUCACUUAUAGAUGGAUCCGCGCUGCAUUAGCUAGUUGGUAAGGUAACGGCUUACCAAGGCAACGAUGCAUAGCCGACCUGAGAGGGUGAUCGGCCACACUGGAACUGAGACACGGUCCAGACUCCUACGGGAGGCAGCAGUAGGGAAUCUUCCGCAAUGGGCGAAAGCCUGACGGAGCAACGCCGCGUGAGUGAUGAAGGUCUUCGGAUCGUAAAACUCUGUUAUUAGGGAAGAACAUAUGUGUAAGUAACUGUGCACAUCUUGACGGUACCUAAUCAGAAAGCCACGGCUAACUACGUG